AGUGAACGCUGGCGGCAGGCCUAAUACAUGCAAGUCGAACGGCAGCACAGCAGAGCUUGCUCUGUGGGUGGCGAGUGGCGGACGGGUGAGGAAUACAUGGGAAUCUGCCCAGUCGUGGGGGAUAACGUAGGGAAACUUACGCUAAUACCGCAUGCGCCCUUCGGGGAAAGCCGGGGACCUUCGGGCCUGGCGCGAUUGGAUGAGCCCAUGUCGGAUUAGCUAGUUGGCGGGGUAAUGGCCCACCAAGGCGACGAUCCGUAGCUGGUCUGAGAGGAUGAUCAGCCACACUGGAACUGAGACACGGUCCAGACUCCUACGGGAGGCAGCAGUAGGGAAUAUUGGACAAUGGGCGCAAGCCUGAUCCAGCCAUGCCGCGUGAGUGAAGAAGGCCCUCGGGUUGUAAAGCUCUUUGUCCGGAAAGAAAAGACGCCGGGUUAAUACCCUGGUGUCCUGACGGUACCGGAAGAAUAAGCACCGGCUAACUUCGUGCCAGCAGCCGCGGUAAU
Molecule: ribosomal RNA, 506 nt
Filed under: uncultured bacterium
Lineage: Bacteria
Description: bacterial SSU rRNA
Rfam family: Bacterial small subunit ribosomal RNA
Source: RNAcentral